RNAcentral lists this ribosomal RNA (464 nucleotides) under uncultured bacterium. Its description in RNAcentral is "partial 16S ribosomal RNA". It matches the Rfam family "Bacterial small subunit ribosomal RNA", at positions 28 to 507 of the family's 1533-position model. The record is from RNAcentral.
GACGAACGCUGGCGGCGUGCCUAACACAUGCAAGUCGAGCGAAUGAAGUUCCUUCGGGACUGGAUUUAGCGGCGGACGGGUGAGUAACACGUGGGCAACCUGCCUCAUAGAGGGGAAUAGCCUUCCGAAAGGGAGAUUAAUACCGCAUAAGAUUGUAGUAUCGCAUGAUACAGCAAUUAAAGGAGCAAUCCGCUAUGAGAUGGGCCCGCGGCGCAUUAGCUAGUUGGUGAGGUAACGGCUCACCAAGGCGACGAUGCGUAGCCGACCUGAGAGGGUGAUCGGCCACAUUGGGACUGAGACACGGCCCAGACUCCUACGGGAGGCAGCAGUGGGGAAUAUUGCACAAUGGGGGAAACCCUGAUGCUGCAACGCCGCGUGAGUGAUGACGGCCUUCGGGUUGUAAAGCUCUGUCUUCAGGGACGAUAAUGACGGUACCUGAGGAGGAAGCCACGGCUAACUACAUG